GUGUCAGCCGCCGCGGUAAUACGGAGGGUGCAAGCGUUAUCCGGAUUCAUUGGGUUUAAAGGGUGCGCAGGCGGAUACUUAAGUCAGUGGUGAAAUCCCGGGGCUCAACCCCGGAACUGCCAUUGAUACUGAAUAUCUGGAAUACGGUUGAAGUGGGCGGAAUGUAGCAUGUAGCGGUGAAAUGCAUAGAGAUGCUACAGAACACCGAUCGCGAAGGCAGCUCACUAAGCCGAUAUUGACGCUCAGGCACGAAAGCGUGGGGAGCGAACAGGAUUAGAUACCCUGGUAGUCCACGCCGUAAACGAUGAUAACUCGUUGUUGGCGACACACAGUCAGCGACUAAGCGAAAGCGAUAAGUUAUCCACCUGGGGAGUACGAUCGCAAGGUUGAAACUCAAAUGAAUUGACGG
Molecule: ribosomal RNA, 409 nt
Filed under: uncultured bacterium
Lineage: Bacteria
Description: bacterial SSU rRNA
Rfam family: Bacterial small subunit ribosomal RNA
Source: RNAcentral